GGUCAGGACGAACGCUGGCGGCGCGCCUAACGACAUGCAAGUCGAACGGACUUCAGGGGCUUGCUCCGUGAAGUUAGUGGCGGACGGGUGAGUAACACGUGAGCAACCUGCCUAUCAGAGGGGGACAACAGUUGGAAACGACUGCUAAUACCGCAUAAGACCACGGGAAGGCAUCUUUUCGGGGCCAAAGAUUUAUCGCUGAUAGAUGGGCUCGCGUCUGAUUAGAUAGUUGGUGAGGUAACGGCCCACCAAGUCGACGAUCAGUAGCCGGACUGAGAGGUUGAACGGCCACAUUGGGACUGAGACACGGCCCAGACUCCUACGGGAGGCAGCAGUGGGGGAUAUUGGACAAUGGGGGGAACCCUGAUCCAGCGACGCCGCGUGAGGGAAGAAGGUUUUCGGAUUGUAAACCUCUGUCGACAGGGAAAAUAGUGAUGGUACCUGUGGAGGAAGCCACGGCUAACUACGUGCCAGCAGCGGC
This 481-nucleotide ribosomal RNA is filed under the name uncultured bacterium. Its description in RNAcentral is "bacterial SSU rRNA". It matches the Rfam family "Bacterial small subunit ribosomal RNA", at positions 22 to 518 of the family's 1533-position model. The record is from RNAcentral.